This 472-nucleotide ribosomal RNA is filed under the name uncultured bacterium. Its description in RNAcentral is "bacterial SSU rRNA". It matches the Rfam family "Bacterial small subunit ribosomal RNA", at positions 355 to 825 of the family's 1533-position model. The record is from RNAcentral.
UGGGGAAUAUUGGACAAUGGGCGAAAGCCUGAUCCAGCAACGCCGCGUGGAGGAUGAAGGUCUUCGGAUUGUAAACUCCUGUCAGAUGGGAAGAACGACUGUCGGCAAAUAGUCGAUAGUCUUGACUGUACCAUCGGAGGAAGCCCCGGCUAACUCUGUGCCAGCAGCCGCGGUAAUACAGAGGGGGCAAGCGUUAUUCGGAAUUAUUGGGCGUAAAGGGCGCGUAGGUGGCCUGGUAAGUCAACGGUGAAAUCCCUCGGCUCAACCGAGGAACUGCCUUUGAUACUGCCAGGCUUGAGGCCGGGAGAGGGUAGCGGAAUUCCCAGUGUAGCGGUGAAAUGCGUAGAUAUCAAGAGGAACACCUGAGGUGAAGACGGGUUGCUGGGCUGACACUGACGCUGAGGCGCGAAAGCCAGGGGAGCAAACGGGAUUAGAUACCCAUGUAGUCCCUGAGCGGGCUGGCAAGGCGCAU